GGCGGCAGGCCUAACACAUGCAAGUCGAGCGGUAGAGAGAAGCUUGCUUCUCUUGAGAGCGGCGGACGGGUGAGUAAUGCCUAGGAAUCUGCCUGGUAGUGGGGGAUAACGUUCGGAAACGGACGCUAAUACCGCAUACGUCCUACGGGAGAAAGCAGGGGACCUUCGGGCCUUGCGCUAUCAGAUGAGCCUAGGUCGGAUUAGCUAGUUGGUGAGGUAAUGGCUCACCGAGGCGACGAUCCGUAACUGGUCUGAGAGGAUGAUCAGUCACACUGGAACUGAGACACGGUCCAGACUCCUACGGGAGGCAGCAGUGGGGAAUAUUGAACAAUGGGCGAAAGCCUGAUCCAGCCAUGCCGCGUGUGUGAAGAAGGUCUUCGGAUUGUAAAGCACUUUAAGUUGGGAGGAAGGGUUGUAGAUUAAUACUCUGCAAUUUUGACGUUACCGACAGAAUAAGCACCGGCUAACUCUGUGCCAGCAGCCGCGGUAAUACAGAGGGUGCAAGCGUUAAUCGGAAUUACUGGGCGUAAAGCGCGCGUAGGUGGUUUGUUAAGUUGGAUGUGAAAUCCCCGGGCUCAACCUGGGAACUGCAUUCAAAACUGACUGACUAGAGUAUGGUAGAGGGUGGUGGAAUUUCCUGUGUAGCGGUGAAAUGCGUAGAUAUAGGAAGGAACACCAGUGGCGAAGGCGACCACCUGGACUAAUACUGACACUGAGGUGCGAAAGCGUGGGGAGCAAACAGGAUUAGAUACCCUG
This 756-nucleotide ribosomal RNA is filed under the name uncultured bacterium. RNAcentral's name for it is "bacterial SSU rRNA". It matches the Rfam family "Bacterial small subunit ribosomal RNA", at positions 38 to 789 of the family's 1533-position model. The record is from RNAcentral.